This 303-nucleotide ribosomal RNA is filed under the name Triticum aestivum (bread wheat). RNAcentral describes it as "partial small subunit ribosomal RNA". Lineage: Eukaryota; Viridiplantae; Streptophyta; Magnoliopsida; Poales; Poaceae. The record is from RNAcentral.
AUGAUAGUGCUUCCCCCUUUCAAACAUAAAUAUGGAAACCGAUUUAGACAUUUAGUACUUUUUUCUUUCCAUAUAAUUUUACAAUUUGACGUGAAGGUCAAAUUAAAAAAACAAGACAAUGACAUCUUCUUUUCAAGUUCAAACCACGGGAUCCACAGAAACGGGGUCCUUCAACUCGAACAACCGAUAAUAUCACUCGUAUUACAGCCUAACUCAAGCCCAGUCAUAUUGAUUAUUGGUAAUAAUGAUCACCGCGGCUGGUUGGAAUAUAGGAUUGAAAAAAUGCAGCAUUUUGCAUUUUAA